CUCGACCUCAGAUCAAGCGAGAUACCCGCUGAAUUUAAGCAUAUAAAUAAGCGGAGGAAAAGAAACCAAACGGGAUUCCCUU
Molecule: ribosomal RNA, 82 nt
Filed under: Sarcoptes sp.
Lineage: Eukaryota; Metazoa; Arthropoda; Arachnida; Sarcoptiformes; Sarcoptidae
Description: partial 28S ribosomal RNA
Rfam family: Eukaryotic large subunit ribosomal RNA
Source: RNAcentral